Molecule: ribosomal RNA, 433 nt
Filed under: Salmonella enterica subsp. enterica serovar Infantis
Lineage: Bacteria; Pseudomonadati; Pseudomonadota; Gammaproteobacteria; Enterobacterales; Enterobacteriaceae
Description: bacterial LSU rRNA
Rfam family: Bacterial large subunit ribosomal RNA
Source: RNAcentral
CACAAACACACAUUGCCGAUGAAGGGCGUGCUAAUCUGCGAUAAGCGCCGGUAAGGUGAUAUGAACCGUUAUAACCGGCGAUACCCGAAUGGGGAAACCCAGUGUGAUUCGUCACACUAUCAUUAACUGAAUCCAUAGGUUAAUGAGGCGAACCGGGGGAACUGAAACAUNUAAGUACCCCGAGGAAAAGAAAUCAACCGAGAUUCCCCCAGUAGCGGCGAGCGAACGGGGAGGAGCCCAGAGCCUGAAUCAGCAUGUGUGUUAGUGGAAGCGUCUGGAAAGGCGCGCGAUACAGGGUGACAGCCCCGUACACAAAAGCGCAUGUGCUGUGAGCUCGAUGAGUAGGGCGGGACACGUGGUAUCCUGUCUUGAAUAUGGGGGGACCAUCCUCCCAAGGCUAAAUACUCCUGACUGACCCGAUGUANCCGUACAG